AGCCGCGGUAAUACGAAGGGUGCAAGCGUUACUCGGAAUUACUGGGCGUAAAGCGCGCGUAGGCGGCUUUGUAAGUUAGAGGUGAAAGCCCGGAGCUCAACUCCGGAACUGCCUUUGAAACUAGGUAGCUAGAAUCUUGGAGAGGUCAGUGGAAUUCCGAGUGUAGAGGUGAAAUUCGUAGAUAUUCGGAAGAACACCAGUGGCGAAGGCGACUGACUGGACAAGUAUUGACGCUGAGGUGCGAAAGCGUGGGGAGCAAACA
This 262-nucleotide ribosomal RNA is filed under the name uncultured bacterium. RNAcentral describes it as "partial 16S ribosomal RNA". It matches the Rfam family "Bacterial small subunit ribosomal RNA", at positions 513 to 774 of the family's 1533-position model. The record is from RNAcentral.